RNAcentral lists this transfer RNA (72 nucleotides) under Pangasianodon hypophthalmus (striped catfish). RNAcentral's name for it is "tRNA-Glu". The record is from RNAcentral. Lineage: Eukaryota; Metazoa; Chordata; Actinopteri; Siluriformes; Pangasiidae.
UCCCUGGAGGGUUAGUGGUUAGGCUUCACUGCUCUCACCACCAUGGCCCAGGAUCAAUUCCUGGCCAGCAAA